This 400-nucleotide ribosomal RNA is filed under the name uncultured bacterium. RNAcentral's name for it is "partial 16S ribosomal RNA". It matches the Rfam family "Archaeal small subunit ribosomal RNA", at positions 473 to 873 of the family's 1478-position model. The record is from RNAcentral.
AUACCAGCACCCCGAGUGGUCGGGACGAUUAUUGGGCCUAAAGCAUCCGUAGCCGGUCCUACAAGUCUUCCGUUAAAUCCACCUGCUUAACAGAUGGGCUGCGGGGGAUACUGCAGAGCUAGGAGGCGGGAGAGGCAAACGGUACUCAGUGGGUAGGGGUAAAAUCCUUUGAUCUACUGAAGACCACCAGUGGCGAAGGCGGUUUGCCAGAGCGCGCUCGACGGUGAGGGAUGAAAGCUGGGGGAGCAAACCGGAUUAGAUACCCGGGUAGUCCCAGCUGUAAACGAUGCAGACUCGGUGAUGGGUUGGCCUCGAGCCAACCCAGUGCCGCAGGGAAGCCGUUAAGUCUGCCGCCUGGGGAGUACGGUCGCAAGACUGAAACUCAAAUGAAUUGGCGGGG